RNAcentral lists this small nuclear RNA (23 nucleotides) under Arabidopsis thaliana (thale cress). RNAcentral describes it as "snRNA_10429". The record is from RNAcentral. Lineage: Eukaryota; Viridiplantae; Streptophyta; Magnoliopsida; Brassicales; Brassicaceae.
UAUUCAUGCAGAGCAUCGAUGCA